GACAAUCGAUCAGGUGUGGUUCAGGUCAAUACAAAGGGAGUUCAUGUGAAAGGUUCCGCGCGUGGGCCGGGAUCGGUCUCGAAUAAGUGGGCCGGAUGUUAAACCCAAACGGUUCAGAAACUCGUCCGGCAUAGCCGCACAUCAUCCAUCCAAUUGGUGGUCAAGCAUGAACGCUGCAGUAUUAGUUUGACUAGACACAAGUAGUCAACUCCUACUUGGGAAAACAGGGGUGAAACAGUACGAUUAGACGGUACAUGUACCAAAAAGGUGAAUUAAUUCUAAUCCAACAAACAAAUUGAUCUAUUUUGUCGUUAAAAGAAUUAGAUUACCUUUUUCCUCCUCGUCUCCCAUGUCAAACUCCACCUAUACAUCGUCUUCCUAAUACAAGACAAUAAAUAGUGAAGGUCGUGUUCCAGUUUGGAACUUCUAGCAAUAAAGAACCCAAUCCAGAUAAUGAAAAGAAAAGCCUGGAUCGACUUGUUACCGAUUCUGCAGUGACA
This 500-nucleotide long non-coding RNA is filed under the name Musa acuminata (dwarf banana). Its description in RNAcentral is "long non-coding RNA (MACU_LNC002897)". Lineage: Eukaryota; Viridiplantae; Streptophyta; Magnoliopsida; Zingiberales; Musaceae. The record is from RNAcentral.